This is a long non-coding RNA of Rhinolophus ferrumequinum (greater horseshoe bat), 836 nucleotides long. RefSeq lists it as uncharacterized. Lineage: Eukaryota; Metazoa; Chordata; Mammalia; Chiroptera; Rhinolophidae. The record is from RefSeq and is a predicted model, not a curated record. The transcript is spliced from 4 exons.
UGCCUCGGGCCCACUUGCCUCGGGCCCACUUGCCUCGGGCCCACUUGCCUCGGGCCCACUUGCCUCGGGCCCAGCGGCUGCAGUGGCCUCGCCGGGUUGAAGGAAGAUGCCCCUGCUCCUGACGUCUCGUUCUCCUACCUCGGGUUGUGGCUUAGAUUCAGCGCGAUCCAAGGGUUUGAUCAUGUGAGAAACAACUACUGAGCAGAAAUAGGAAGGAUGAAAGUGGAAAACACAACUACAAGAUGAGAAAACGAGACCCAGGAGACUGGCAUUGGGUCCUCACGAAGUGAUGGACCUCAUCUACGUCCUCCCGAUGACAUACAUGCUUUAUCCCACAUCACAGAUGAGAAAUAUGAGGUUCGGAGAAGUUAAGUGCCUUCCCUGGAGUCUAACAACAGCAGUGGCUAACAGGUCGACCGCCUAGGGCCCAGCUUCCUUACCAAGACACCGUGCUGUCUCCGAAAUGUAAACAUUGCAGUUCCAAAACCACACUCAGGACCAGAGAAGAUGGAGUUUGUUUUGCAGGACAAAUUUCCCGAUCUGUGAACCACUGAAAUUAUGGGGAGCUGUUAGAAGUGCUCGAGCCACAGCUCCCAGACCAUCUUGCACCAGCUCUGAUGUAACUAACUCCUUGGGGCCUCCUGACCCACUUCCUGGUGCACUGUGGUUACCUGUCACACUACAAAGGCUUUUUAUUUUCUCCUAAGCACGGAGAUCUAAGGAUUGGCUAGUGGGAGCAACAAGGAGAAAGAAAGCCAGAGCCAGGUUUCUGAGCCCCAUCUGCACCCUGCUUUCUACCCAGAGGGGGACUAUCUGAGCUACACUUGCAAUUUUCA